CCUGAGAGUUUGAUCCUGGCUCAGAACGAACGCUGGCGGUACGCUUUACACAUGCAAGUCGAACGAGAAAGUCCGCAAGGACGAUUAAAGUGGCGAACGGGUGCGUAACACGUGGACAACCUGCCCUUAGGUCGGGGAUAACCUUUCGAAAGAAAGACUAAUACCGGAUAACAAUAAUGAUUGAUUCUUUAUUUGAAAGAUGCAAAUCGCCUUGAGGAGGGGUCUGCGGUAUAUUAGCUAGUUGGUGAGAUAAAAGCUCACCAAGGCGACGAUGUAUAGCAGGUCUGAGAGGAUGAUCUGCCACACUGGAACUGAGAUACGGUCCAGACUCCUACGGGAGGCAGCAGUGGGGAAUCUUGCGCAAUGGGCGAAAGCCUGACGCAGCGAUACCGCGUGGGUGAAGAAGGCCCUUGGGUCGUAAAACCCUUUUGUAAAGGAAGAUAAUGACGGUACUUUACGAAUAAGCACCGGCUAACUCCGUGCCAGCAGCCGCGGUAAUACGGAGGGUGCGAGCGUUGUUCGGAUUUAUUGGGCGUAAAGGGUGCGUAGGCGGCUUCUUACGUAAAGGGUGAAAUACCGAAGCUCAACUUCGGAAUUGCUUUUUAAACGGGGAGGCUUGAGAUAGUUAGGGGCAAGUGGAAUUCCUGGUGUAGAGGUGAAAUUCGUAGAUAUCAGGAGGAACACCUGAGGCGAAGGCAACUUGCUGGGACUUUUCUGACGCUGAGGCACGAAAGCAUAGGUAGCAAACGGGAUUAGAUACCCCGGUAGUCUAUGCCGUAAACGAUGAAUGCCAGUUGUCUGCUUUAAUAGUGGGUGACGCAGUUAACGCGUUGAGCAUUCCGCCUGGGGAGUACGGUCGCAAGGCUAAAACUCAAAGGAAUUGACGGGGACCCGCACAAGCGGUGGAGCAUGUGGUUUAAUUCGACGCAACGCGAAGAACCUUACCUGGAUUUGACAUCCCUUGCAAGGGCUAGAGAUAGUCUGUUCUCUUCGGAGACAAGGUGACAGGUGCUGCAUGGCUGUCGUCAGCUCGUGUCGUGAGAUGUUGGGUUAAGUCCCGCAACGAGCGCAACCCUUAUCCUUAAUUGCCAGCGGAUAAUGCCGGGAACUUUAGGGAGACUGCCAGCGUCAAGCUGGAGGAAGGUGGGGAUGACGUCAAGUCCGCAUGGCCUUUAUGUCCAGGGCUACACACGUGCUACAAUGGGGAAUACAAAGGGUUGCCAAAUCGCGAGAUGGAGCUAAUCCCAUAAAAUUUCUCUCAGUUCGGAUUGCAAUCUGCAACUUGAUUGCAUGAAGCUGGAAUCGCUAGUAAUCGUGGAUCAGCAUGCCACGGUGAAUACGUUCCCGGGUCUUGUACACACCGCCCGUCACACCAUGGGAGUUGAUUUAGGAGGAAGUCGCUGAGCUAACCGUAAGGGGGCAGGCGCCCAAUCUUGAAUCGAUGACUAGGGUGAAGUCGUAACAAGGUAGCCGUAGAAGAAUCUGCGGCUGGAUUACCUCCU
RNAcentral lists this ribosomal RNA (1502 nucleotides) under uncultured bacterium. RNAcentral's name for it is "bacterial SSU rRNA". It matches the Rfam family "Bacterial small subunit ribosomal RNA". The record is from RNAcentral.